UCAACGGAGAGUUUGAUCCUGGCUCAGGACGAACGCUGGCGGCGCGUUUAACACAUGCAAGUCGAGGGACGAAGCCACCCUUCGGGGUGGUGGAAACCGGCGAACGGGUGAGUAACACGUGAGGAACCCACCCUGCGCUUUGGGAUAACCCCGGGAAACCGGGGCUAAUACCGGAUAUUCUCUCCGGAUCGCAUGAUCUGGACAGGAAAGCUCCGGCGGCGCAGGACGGCCUCGCGGCCUAUCAGCUAGUUGGUGAGGUAACGGCUCACCAAGGCGACGACGGGUAGCUGGAGUGAGAGCUCGUACAGCCACACUGGGACUGAGACACGGCCCAGACUCCUACGGGAGGCAGCAGUGGAGAAUCUUGCGCAAUGGGCGAAAGCCUGACGCAGCGACGCCGCGUGCGGGAAGAAGGCCUUCGG
This 422-nucleotide ribosomal RNA is filed under the name Actinomycetota bacterium. Its description in RNAcentral is "bacterial SSU rRNA". It matches the Rfam family "Bacterial small subunit ribosomal RNA", at positions 1 to 421 of the family's 1533-position model. Lineage: Bacteria; Bacillati; Actinomycetota. The record is from RNAcentral.